ACGAGGAAGAAGGUGAAGGCGGAGAGAAGAUGAAGAAGAAGAAAAAGGAGAAGGGAAAGAAAGAACAGGACAGUGCAGUCCCAGUGGAGAAGUGCGAUGAGGCAGCAACAGUUCACCACUCAGAGACGCCGAAAAAGAAGGGUUUCAUGGAUAAGAUCAAAGACAAACUCCCAGGACAGCAUAAGAAAGAUGAAGAGGACACCACCCAACCACCAGCUGCUGCUGCCCCAACUGAGAACGACCACCAUGAAGGAGAGACAAAAGAGAAGAAGGGAUUUUUGGUGAAAAUCAAGGAGAAAAUUCCUGGUUACCACUCCAAAACAGAGGACGAGAAGGAAAAAGAGACCACUGCUCCCCAUUAAUGAAUCAAUAUAAUGCAUUUCAAGUAAAAGAUGUGUAGAGAUUGUGUGGUUUAUCAAUUUGUUGGAACUGUCUGUUCUCUGUUUUUCUUUUUGGGGUUGCAUACAUCAUAUAAAUUUCUGCGUCUGUUUUCCUGCUUGUAAGUUAAAAAGGAAAAAAAAGAAAAAAGAAGGUAUGUAUAUUUAAUGUUUUCAAUGUCAUUAUAAUAAUUAAGAAAUGACGGUAUUAUUUCCCUUUUAUCAAGUAGGUUUGUGCACUCUUAAAUGCAAGUUUUAACAAAUAUGAAUUAUUUAAAUAUACAUUUAAUUUUUGAAUUUAACAUUUUUUUUUCUAGGUUGAUGUUACUCAAAUUUUUAUUUCAUUAACUAAAUUAGUAUUAAUUUAAUUCGCGGAAUAAAAAUUCUAACAUUAGAAAAAAAUAAAUAUAACAUAAAUUAUAAAAUGAAGGAAAAAAAAAUUUCGACCGUAGUUAAUGAAUAAUGAUCAAUGAAAGAUCAGUGAAAAGCUAAUUCAUGUAACAAAUUGUUUAUUGGUUUUUAAGCAAAAAUACAAUAAUAUUAGGUGGCAAGCUUUUAAUUGUUUGACAAUUGAUACUCUAUUUAUAUGAACAUAGAAUAUGUUCAAAUACUUUGAUCAAAAUGUUGGUAAAUUUUAUGAUUUAGCGUAAAAAUGAAAAAAAAAAUCAUUUAUGGAUCAAAAUGUUUCAAAAUGAUUACGAAUAGAAAAUAUUUAGUAUAGUGUUGAUAAAGUUUUUAAACUUCAUAAAUAAUUAUGGGUUAAGUGUUUUAUAAGUUUUAGUAAAAUAUUAAAAAAUGUAUAUAUAUUUAAAAAAUUACAAUUUUUUCAAGUCGUGAAAUAAAAAAUAUAUAUUAUCAGUAUAUCAAAUACUAAUUUAUAAAAAAAUCAAUCUCAUAAUGUUUAAAUAUCAUUCAUUUAAGUCAUGAGGUGUGGUGUGGUAAUUGCUCAUCUCAUUUCUCAAUCAUUAGGUCAAGGGUUUAAUCCUUGCUUAUAGGAAUGGAGCACAUUUUAUGGUCAAUCAUUUAUCUUUUUGGAGAGCUCUAAUAGCGAAAGAAUUAGUCAUUACUACUAGUGGUGGAUACUAUAAAAAUAUUUAUAACUUUGUAUAUAUUUAUAUAACAAACUUUUUCCCUUAAUUCAAAGGGUUAAUAGCUAAUUUGGUCCCUGUGUUAUAGUUAAAAGUCAAUUUGAUUUUUUUUAAUUCUCUUAACAAUAAUUGUAAAAGAAAAUCUUAAACUAAAAAUUAAUAGAAAAUCUAUAAAAAUAAUUGAAAAUUCAUAAUUUUUUUUAAAAUAUGGAACUAUUUAAAUAUGUAUAAAUCUAAAAAUUUCUUAAAAUUAAAACCAAAAGAUUUUUAGGGUCUGUUUGAUAGGGGAAAAUAUUUUCCGGAAUUGAUUUUCCCCAUUUUCCAGUGUUUGAUUGGAGGAAAAUAUUUUCCUUUCAGAAAAUCAACUACAAAACACGGGAAAAUGCCUUACAAUUUUUGGGAAAUUGUCUUACCGAUUCAAUCUCCGUAAGACAUUUUCCUAAAGCUCUCAGGCAUUCUUCUCCCUUCAUCCAGUAAGCUCCCUUCAUCCAUUCUUCUCCCUUCCUUCAUUCCUUCAAAUUUCUGUUAUUGAAAGCUUCAUUUUGGUUCAGAACUGGAAACCGCUGCUGGUACGUUGCAAUUCCAUUUCCAUUUUUCGACGGUUACUUCAUUUAUUUUUCAUUUCUUUUUGGCUUUUAUGCUCCGUUUAUUUUUCAUUUCUUUUUGGCUGCUACUGCCGUUGCCAUUUCUUCUUUCAAAUGAUGGGUAAGCUUCCUUCUUCUUUUAUUCUUCGUUCGGUUGUUAAUGCUGGAAGCCAUCUUUCUAAUUUCCACUCUUUCUUCUUCUUCUAACACUAUUGCUACCCACAUCGACUGCCUAAGUAAGAAACCAAUGUCCAUGCCUGUUAGAGGAAAGGGAAAAACAGACCACCGCUUCGAUAAUGUUGAUCAUGCUUUGAGUUUGUUCACUUCUUUUUGUUGUCUCUGGUUUUCUGAGAUUUUGUUUAGUUUUUAUGUUUUUUUUAAUGUGAUGGGAAAUUGGGUUGGAAUUGAAGUUGAGGGUCCUUUUGCAACUUUCAAUUCUAAAGAAGGGGAAAAAAUUGCUUGCAAGUUUUAGAUAUGGACUGACGGUAUCUUUUAGAAGUUGUUCAUGUAGGAAGUUCUUAUUUGAUGAUUCAACUGCAGUUCCCAAUUGAUCUUCUAUAGGAUUAUCCUUGGAUCAUGCUAAAGGAUAUAUCAAUCUGGGAUUUAUUUUGAUUCUAUUGGAAAUUUGUGUCUGAUAUGAUUGAUACUAUUUAAGGUUAUUAUUAGAUUUGUUCUUCCUUGUUCAUUUAGCAGCAAUAGGAAUUCUCAAUAUGAAAUGUCAUGGUUUGCUUUGUCUAUAGUAGGGGUGUAAAGGUGCUUGCAAACUACUUGAAGAAAGACUCGAACUCGGUCGAGCUAUCAAUUGAGUCAAAUUUGAGCUUUGUUAAAUAAUGGCAUGUCUGGAAAUCAUGGACUGGGUAAUGAAGUUAGUUGCUUUGUUAAUUUAUGGAUUAAUGGUUUUAUAGGAACUUAAGUUAGUUUCUUUGUUAAUUUGGGUAAUGAACUUUGUCUGGAAAUCAAGGACUGGUUAAUGAAGUUAGUUGAUUUGUAGUUUUAUUUUUGUUUUUGUAUGGUCUAAUGCAAAUCCUUUUUUAUUAUGCCAUGUCGUGGUUGAUAAUCGCGAGUUGUGUAAUUUUAUGUUGUUCUUUCUCCUCCUUCUUCAGAUUGGAAAAAUUGGGAGCCUUAAAAUGGGACAAGGUAGUGCAUGGAAAUCAAGCGUGGAGGCUUAUCACUUGCAUCUGGCUGCACGCUGGUGUUAUUCAUCUACUUGCAAACAUGUUGAGCUUGAUCUUCAUUGGAAUUCGCCUUGAACAACAAUUUGGAUUCAAUACGUUAUCCGUUCCCUUUUGUAGUGGUAGCGUACUAUCGUCUCUUUUCAUUCAACGUAGCAUUUCUGUUGCUGCCUCUGGUGCUUUAUUUGGCCUUCUUGGAUUAAUGUUGUCGGAGCUGCUGACUAAUUGGACUAUCUAUACAAAUAAGGUAAUAUUAGUUGCCUUGGGUUCCUAUCUACUUAGAAAUGCAAUGAAGGGAAACCAGAGUUAUAGGUGAUUUCUUUUUUCAUGUGGCUUGAAAAGUAAUAGAGGAUAUUGAUUUUUUACCUUAAUUUGUAGGCUACAGCUCUGAUCACACUCACGGUCAUCAUUGUCAUUAACUUAGCAAUGGGGAUUCUUCCUCACGUCGACAACUUUGCGCAUAUUGGAGGUUUCUUAACCGAUUUUCUCCUUGGGUUCGUUUUGCUGCUUCGUCCCCAAUUCGGGUGGGUGGGACGUAAACAUCUUCCUGCCGGUGCUUGUGUAACAUCUAAGCAUAAAGCAUACCAAUACCUAUUUUUGGUGAUAGCUAUGGUUUUACUCAUUGCUGGGUAAGUUCUCUCAACCCUACAUUACUAGUUUAGCAGCUCGUGUUUAUAAUUUUGGUCCCGUUUGUUUAAUCUCCUCUGUUUUCCUUUUUCGAAUGAUGACAGUUUCACAUUGGGGUUGGUAAUGCUGUUUAGAGGAGAGAAUGGACAUGACCAUUGCAGCUGGUGCCAUUACCUGAGCUGUGUUCCUACAUCAAAAUGGCACUGUGGGAACUAAGCAGACCUUUAUUACAUAUCGUUCACUGAUUCUUUUCUGGUUUCCUUUACAUUUUUUACAUUUGUUAAUUUCUUGGUGUUGUUACGUGCCUAUGUGUAUAUAUAUAUACAUACAUACAUACGUACAUGGUUAGUUUUUAGACUUCGAGUUAUUUUAUUCACUGUUGUUAUGUGAUUUGACAUUUUAUACACAACUUGGUCUAAAUAUAUAUAAUAAGCGAUUUUACUUGAAGAAAAUACGAGAAUAUCUUUCAGUUUUUCCCUAUAGUUUUAGCUAAAGGUUUUGGCUUUGCAAUAUUUACUUUCCCUGAGGUCGUAUCUAUAAUCUAACUUUGUCUCUUUGGACAUUAAAGGAUGAAAGUUUAAUUAUUAGAGAAUUAAGCUUUGCCUUUGCAAGUAAUCAAUAUUAAACAUAUAAAUACCUUGUUUGUGAUAUAUUAAAAUGGAAUUAAGUAGACAUUAAGCAUUAAGAUUCUCAAAACUAUUUAUUAUAUGUUACUCAUCAACUCACUAAUAAAUUUCACUUACCAUUUCAUUUUAGCCCAAAUAUAGAUUUAUAGGACAUAAGGAUAUGUGGAUAGAACACUGAAUCACUAGAACAAAUGUAAAAACAACUUUUCCGAAAAAUAUUUUCAAGAAAUCUGUCAAAAAGUAGAAAAUAUUUUACACAGAUUCAAUCAAACACCAGAAAAUAUUUUCCAGUAAAUCAUUUUAUAGAAAAGUAAAACAUUUUCCAGAAAUUAUUUUACGGAAAACAUUUUACUGGCAAUCAAACGGACCCUUAAUUUAAAUCCCAUGUUAAAUAUAUGUAUCACAAGAAUCAGAUUGGAUAAAAGUAGAAUCAAAUUAAUAUAAAAUUUAAAUACAAAUAAAUGUUUUAAUAAUGAAGAAGUAAAAUCAAAUCGGUAUAAUCUACAAAUAGAUGAACAUUUGGAAUUUAAUUAGAUAAAAAACUUUUAUUAAUAAAAAAUUUAUUUAUAAAUAAAUCAUUGCAAUAUGUGUAAAAAUAAUUUAAAAUAUAAAAAUUUAUUAAUAUGUAUAUAAAUUUAUUAAUAUAUGUAAAAACAACUUUUCCGGAAAAUAUUUUCAGGAAAUCUGUCAAACAGCAGAAAAUAUUUUACACAGAUUCAAUCAAACACUAGAAAAUAUUUUCCAGUAAAUCAUUUUACAGAAAAGUAAAACAUUUUCCAGAAAUCAUUUUACGGAAAACAUUUUACUGCCAAUCAAACAGACCCUUAAACUAACAUUUCUUACAAAUUUUUAUUAUAUAAAACAAUUUAAAAUUUUCAAAUUUGUUGAGUAGUAUUUUUCUCGUAUCGUAUUAAGAGAAACACAUGGGGUAUUUAUACAUGUUUCUAUUGCUACUAUUACAGCUCACAAUAGGGCCCACUAUUUUGUCUCAGUCUUUGGGCCGAUGGUACUGACAUUCCCUGUCCCUGGUGCUGGCAUUCCCCUGGGUAUCCCUUGGCUUAUCGGAUGCAUGUCUGCGAAGCACGCAGUCUUUUUUGAUCCUAAGACUGACUCCUCCAGCGAGCCUCGUACCUACUAAUCACAAGCAGGGAUUCCUAGUAGGGCUUGUGAUCCCUUUUGCUGACAUAGCUCGCGACGUCAUUCCUAUGAGGCUUACGUGAGCUCUCCUUACGAGCUUUCCGUGCGAGCUAUCUUUGCAAAAAUCUAGCAUUCCAGUGGGGUCCCCAGCAAACUAUGCCUGUAGGUGAACAUUCUUGUAACACCCUUUACUCGUACCCAAGACCGGGAUAGAGUACGGGGCAUUACCGAGAACAUACAAAGACAUUUGGGAAAUAUGGCUAUCAAAUUUCGUUCGAAAAUAAAAACAUUCAUAAUAUCCCUAAUAUGAGCUUAAGAGGCCCGAAACAUAUUUAGAAACCCAUUCAGGAACAACCCGGGUCCUUAAAAGAAUAAAAAAACCUUCACUAAAAACAGGGGCACACGUCCAUGUAACCUUCACGACAUGGCCGUGCUGAUGGCCCGUGUAUUUCACACGGCCUAAGCACCUAGGGACACGCCCGUGUCCCUUACCCGUGUGGCCAAUUUAAUUCACAAUUUCUCAUAAAUCAAGUGCAGACUUCAUACGACCAGAACACACGCCCGUGUCUAUGGUCCGUGGAGCAUACUGCCAACUUAACUAUAAACAAAAAAAUCACAUGGCCAAGGCACUCGCCCCUGUCUAUUGCCCGUGUCUUUCACACGGCCUUGACACGCCCGUAUCCUCAGCUCGUGAAGCUAUCUGUCUAAAUGGUCAUGGUCUAAAUGAAGUCGUACGGCCUUGUGCUAAAAAUAGGCUAUUUAACAAGCCUUCAAGCCAUCCAUGCCAACAAUAACCUACAUAGCAUUCUACCAUACCAAUAUCCCUAUCAACAUGGGACCAAACAACUAUAAGAAACAGUAAUUCAACUAACUACUAGAACAGUUCAAUUAACCAAGGGGGCAACAACCUUCAACAUAUGAUUCAAUAUGAAUAUUAGCCAUUAACCAUGGCCUUAUACAAAAUGAAUUAAUAACACAUUCAUGAACCAAUACUUUGGCUAAACUAAUGACAUAUACCAAGCAAAAUAAACAAAAGUCCUAUACAUGCCAUUAUACAAAAUAAAAGCUUCCAUAUACCCAAAACGGAAUUAGUUCAAUAGUGUGAUCAACGCUCCAACCGUCUUCCAAUCCUCAAGAGUCCACGAGUACUGUAAAACAGGGGAAAAUAAAAAGGGCAAGCAUUAACAUGCCUAGUAAGUUCGGAUAACGGGAAAGUAAACCUACUAGUUAUUUAGUAUAAAACCAUAAUAAGCACACAAUCCAAACAAGUAUAGGAUAGAUUUCCUAUCACAUGCACUCAACCAUUAAGUUAGUCUCAUAGCAUGACAAAAUAAUAGCACAUCUAGAUGAGCUCAUCACAUCAUUAUUCCCAAUUUACAUCUCAUGUUAGUCCUAUUGAAUUUUUUGGUUUUCCUAUGGAUAUCUCAUUUCCCAUCAGUUCAUAUAAGUGGUCAUUUUGAGUACGCAUUCCCGCGAACCUCGCAUCUUACGGCAGAAUUACCAGAUCAGACUAAAUCCCCCGUAAUACAAACUCAUAAAGUAAAUGUCGGGAUUACCAGUCCAGGUUAAAUCCCCUACAACGACAUAUACUCUAAUGAGCUCGAAUCUGAAUUACUGGUCCAGGCUAAAUUCAGAUCCUACUUCGGAUUACCCUUCCGGGCUAAAUCCUUAAUGUACACAUAUUCUUCGGGAGGCUAGAUCACUAUAGGAUCAUCCGUCUGGGCUAGAUGCUUUUCACCGUCAAUUCAUUUUCGAGAUAUUCCAUUGAAUAACCCUAUUCAUUCAACCUGGGGCAUUCUUAUACUCAUUUUACUCACUUUAUUAAAUCUCAUAAAUUAUCAUGCAAUAAACAUUUACACAAUCAAGAAUAUACAUUUUAAGUACAUUAAAAGUCUACCUUGACUUAUUAGAACUUACCUUGUGAUCGUUUCAGAUUUGAGUUUUGAUCACUCCGAAACCUUUCGUCUCCCUCAAUCGACUUCCAGAUUGUAAUGAACCGAAAGUUACGGUAUCGGAAAUUGAGUCUUGAGUACUGUUUCCGUGAAAUUAAUUCAUGAAUAUUUAUUAGAAAUAUUUAUGAAUUAUAGUUGAAUGGUUAUUUAAUGUUUAAUUAAGUGAAGUAGCUUGAAUUUAGUUUAAAGGACUAAAUUACAUAAGGUAUAAAAGUUUAAUUAUAGAUUAAAGAUUAAUAAAUGGACUAAUCUAGCAAUUAGACCCUAAGUGCCAUGUGUGUGAAUGUAUGAUAUAACAUGUGUAAUAGUUGGUAAAGAUAUUAAAUGUGUUAAAGUAGUUUUUCUUAUAGAUUAAGUUAUUUUAUUAGAAUAAUAUUAUAUUAUUAAUAUUAUUAUAUUGAAUAUAGAUUUAUGAUUAAGUUAAAAAAGAAAGAAAGAAAGAUAGAAAGAGUUACAGAGAGCAAACGUGAGAAAGAAAGAAAGAAAUAGAAAAGGGAAAUUUGAGGAUUAAGGCCCUAAAGCUUGAUUGGUAAGAUGUUUUAGCUUAUUUUCUUAUAAUUUUUAUGUUUAUGGAUGCCUAAUUCAAAGUUCUACAUGUAUGAGGUUAAAAUGAAGAAAAAUAGAAAAUUUUUAGAUAUUGAUUUAGUUGAAUAAAUUGAGGUUUUAUGGGUUAAAUUGAUAGAAAUUGAAGUUAGAAGUGAAAAUUGAGUGAUUUAUUAAAAGAAUUCUAAGUUAGGUUUAAAUAGGGAUUAAGUUGAAUAGAGCUCAAAAUUUAUGUUUUAUAAUGAAUUUUAUGAGUUAGAAAUUGUUAAUGAGUUGAUUAAAAGAGAAUAAGAAGCUUAAGUUAAAGAAAAAAAAGAUUAGUAAUGGAAAAAGGAUGAAAUUAGAACUUUUGUAAAAGUUUGAUAGAAAGUGAAAAUGUGUUUUAUGAAUUAGUAUAUUGAUGAUUUUUAAUUGUAUGAUUGUUAGUAGCAAACGUAGCACCGGAUACGUCAUCGAAGAAGGGAAAAGAGAAAGUGAACGAAGAUAUCGAUUAAAUUCGAUAAAUAGAGGUUUGUAUUUCUAUAAACCGAGCUUAAUCGUUAUUGCUAUAUUUGAUAUUUAUAUUGUAUGAAAAUGUGAAUGAGGUAAGUAUUUUUACCAUAUUGAAAUGAAUGUGAUUUUGAAUACCGUAUUAACAGUGUCGGGCUAGUCGGAUAUAGUUGACAUGUCAUAGGAAUUGGAAGUAUUGGGAUAUUCCGACAUUGAGUCGAUGAGACACUAUGUGUCGACUACUGUUAAAGUUCCGGAUUUGUUCCGAUGAAGUACUUUGUGUACUAUAAUGUUAAAGUUCCGGAUUUGUUCCGAUGAAGCACUAUGUGCUUAUCCCGGAGUGUGGGUUGGAUCCGUGUGUCCGUUAGUGUCCGAGUUAUGUUAAUAAGGGUAAAUAAAGUAAAGAUUAUUAAAGUACUGAUUGAUAUUGAAUAAUAGCAAUAAUGUGUUUGAAUUACCAUGUUUUAAAGUUGAUUAAGCUAUUGUUCAUAGAAAUACAACUGAGAGUAUUCUCAGCGUACGGUUUGUUUCCGUGCGCAGGCUAGGUACGAAAGUAUAAGGACUCAGCAUACAAGCCGAUCCCCGAACUCAAAUUGGUGAAGUUUCUAUCUUUUUGGAAAAUGGCAUUGUACCUAGGAUGUCUUUUGGUCAUUUUGAAAGUAUCUAAGUUGUUAAGUGAUAUUUUGGUAUGUUAUGUAAAUGUUACCAAAACCUUAAGUAUGGUAUGUUUUGAUAUGUUAGUGAAGAGUAAUAAGAGGAAGUGUUGGUAAAUAUUGUAGAGAGAAGAAAUGAAGAUGUUAUAAACUUAUUUAUCAACAUUUUAUACUAAAACAGAUUUGGACAGUAACAGUAGUCCAACUUUGAAAAUAUACCAAAAAUAGUAUAAAGUGAAUUAGAUGAUGAAUAAAAUAUGUAAUUGAAGCUUAAUGAAUCUAUUUUUAUAUGGAAUAAACAAAAUAGGUAAAAAAGUUUUAUUUUAUGAGAUAUUUACAUUUUGGUGAAACAGGGUUAGAGCAAUUUUUGGAUUCCCUGUUUUAACUUUAGAAAUUCACCAUAAAUUUUGUAUUAAGAAUUAGGACUCAAACUUUAUAUUUAUGGAUUCUUUAUUGAAUCUAUUUUUAAUUGAAACAAAUGGCAUAGUCAUUGGAUUUCUGUACAGGAAUAAAUUUGAUUCGUAGUGCACAAGGGUUAGAGUAGCUAAACCCUAAAAUAGGGGAGACUUUUUCUAAUAAAAUGUACUAAUUGGCCUGACCAAAAAUCCUAGAAAAAAUUUAGUACGUAGAUAUAUGAGUCUAGUUUCAGGGAAAAUUUACGGAAUUGGAUUUUGAGUUUCUUAACUCAAGAUAUGAUUUUUUAGCGACCGUGAUGCAGAUGGAUAGUUUACUACGAAAACUAUUUAAGUGCUAAGAUAAGUUUUGUAAUGUCUCCUGCUUGACUCCAGCAACGGUCUCGGGUAGGGGGACGUUACAAUAUUGAUUGGUAUCAGAGCUAAUUAGGUUUAGUCGGUUCUAGGACUAAAUCGAAUGUCAAUGUGAAUCUAGAGGUACAUGCCAUUACUGAGUCAAAUUUGAGUUGGGAUUGGAUGCUGAUAUGUUUGUUGAAUAUUUUUGUUUUAUAGCAUUAAGAAUGUCUGAUAAAAGCAUUGAGGAUACUGAUCAAGAGAUGUAUAGUGAAGAUGAUGAACCGUAUAAUGUGAAUGAAUCGGAGUUUGCAACUCCAAGUGUGAAUCCAGUAGGAAAUCAACCGAAUGUUGGAAGUGAUAAUACUGAAGUCUUUAGAAUAAUCGCCGAUGCCCUUCAAAAAGCGGUAGGAACUAUGCUUGCUACGUCCUCUAUCCCUACUACCCGAAGAGCUCCAAUUAAAGAAUUGAGAAAAUAUGGAGCUACAGAAUUUUUGGGUGCAAAGAGAAUUGAUUCGACUACUGCUGAAAAUUGGUUAAAGACUACAAAGAGAGUUCUGAAGCAACUUGAAUGUACACCACAAGAAAGCUUAGUGUGUAUUGUCUCAUUACUGCAAGAGGAAGCUUUAGUAUGGUGGGAAUCAGUGAUUCAGAAUGUACUUGAGGAACAUAUAAGUUGGGACUUCUUUCAAAAAGAGUUUCAAAAUAAGUAUUUGGGAGAAAUGUACAUAGAGGACAAAAGAUAAGAGUUCUUAACACUGAAAUAAGGUGAGAUGCUUAUAGUGGAUUAUGAACAAGAAUUUCUAAGACUGAGCAGAUAUGCCACUGAGUUUGUACCGACUGAAGCCGACAGAUGUAAAAGAUUUUUAAGAGGAUUACGUGAUGAAUUUAGACUACAGUUGAUGCCUCUUAGAAUCACUGAGUUUGCGGAUUUAAUGGAAAGAGCUAAGAUGAUUGAACAAAUUCUCGGAAGGGAUAAAAAGUCUGAAGUUGCUCGUUCGACUAAAAAACGUCCCGGAAUGGUUAGUUCAAGUUCGUAGCCUAAGCGGUCAAAGGAAUCACGAGGUAAUUGGAGAUUUAGUUCUCGAUCGGAAAGAAGUGAUCGAGGUCGGAAAAGAUAGACUACUGUGUCUACUGGCAGUAUCCGAAGUCCAGUUCAGAAUACUGAAAUUCCAAUAUGUGAGCAUUGUGGAAACCGACACAAAGAGGAAUGUAGAAAGUUGACUGGAGGUUGUUUCCAUUGUGGGGCUACUGAUCACUUUAUUAAAGAUUGCCCAAAGAUAUCUGGAACAACACUGAAAGUAGUGCAAAGAUCUGAAUUUGCUUCCAGAGGCCGGGGAUCAGGUCGAAGUAGUUCGUUUGCUAGAGGUGGUACUAGAAGAACUAGUGAGAGUGCUACACAACAAUCUGAAGCUAGAGCUCCAGCUCGAGCAUAUGUUAUGAGGACUCGAGAAGAGAAAGAUGCUCAUGAUGUGGUGACAGGUAUAUUCUUGUUGAAUUCACCACCCGUUUAUGCUUUAAUAGACCCUGGGUCAUCACAUUCAUAUGUUAAUACGAAAGUAGUUGAGACAAAAAAAUUAGAGUCUGAAUUGUCUAAAGUUAUGAUAGAAGUGUCUAGUCUACUGGGACAAACUACUUUAGUGAACCAUAUAUGUUGAAGAUGUUCAUUAAUGAUUCAAGAUAGAAUAUUCCCUGUUGAUCUAUUGAUUAUGCCAUUUGGUGACUUUGAUGUUAUUUUGGGAAUGGACUGGUUAUCAGAACAUUGAGUGAUUUUAGACUGUUAUAAGAAGAAGUUUAUUGUUCAGAAUGAAAGAGAAGAUACGAUUGAAGUAAAUGGUAUUCGGACUAGUGGAUCAAUUCGUAUUGUUUCGGCCAUUAAAGCUAGCAAGCUUCUUCAUCGAGGUUGUAAUGCUUUCUUAGCAUAUGUGAUUAAUUCGGAUUCAGUUGAAAGUUAGUGUAGUAAAAUUUAGACUGUAUGUGAAUUUUCUGAUGUAUUCCCUGAGGAAUUACCUGGAUUACCCCUUGAUCGAGAGGUAGAAUUUGUGAUUGAAGUCUACCCAGGUACAGAUCCGGUAUCGAUACCUCCGUACCGUAUGGAACCUACUGAGCUAAAGGAAUUAAAAGUACAGUUGCAAGACUUAUUGGAUAGAGGUUCUAUACGACCUAGUACAUCACCAUGGGGAGCUCCAAUGUUAUUUGUUAAGAAGAAAGAUGGGUCGAUGCGGUUGGGCAUUGAUUAUCGACAACUCAACAAAUCAACUGUCAAGAACAAGUAUCCACUUCCCCGAAUAGAUGAUUUGUUUGAUCAACUGAAAGGAGCUUUUGUAUUUUCAAAGAUUGAUCUGAGGUCGGGAUACUAUCAGUUGAAAGUAAAAGAGUGCGACUAUUGAAGACGACAUUUCGUACGAGGUAUGGGCAUUAUGAAUUCUUAGUAAUGCCAUUUGGACUGACAAAUGCCCCUGCUGCUUUUAUGGAUCUUAUGAAUCGGAUUUUUCAGCCAUACUUGGAUCAGUUCAUAAUAGUUUUUAUUGACGAUAUUUUGGUGUAUUCCAAGUCAGAAAAAGACCAUGAGCAACAUCUCCGGAUUAUUUUGUAAAUACUACGAGAAAAGCAAUUGUAUGGAAAAUUGAGCAAGUGUGAAUUCUGGUUAUCAGAAUUUUAAGAGGAUUACAUGAUGAAUUUAGACUACAGUUGAUGCCUCUUAGAAUCACUGAGUUUGCGGAUUUAAUGGAAAGAGCUAAGAUGAUUGAACAAAUUCUCGGAAGGGAUAAAAAGUCUGAAGUUGCUCGUUCGACUGAAAAACGUCCCGGAAUGGUUAGUUCAAGUUCGCAGCCUAAGCGGUCAAAGGAAUCACGAGGUAAUUGGAGAUUUAGUUCUCGAUCGGAAAGAAGUGAUCGAGGUCGGAAAAGAUAGACUACUGUGUCUACUGGCAGUAUCCGAAGUCCAGUUCAGAAUACUGAAAUUCCAAUAUGUGAGCAUUGUGGAAACCGACACAAAGAGGAAUGUAGAAAGUUGACUGGAGGUUGUUUCCAUUAUGGGGCUACUGAUCACUUUAUUAAAGAUUGCCCAAAGAUAUCUGGAACAACACCGAAAGUAGUGCAAAGAUCUGAAUUUGCUUCCAGAGGCCGGGGAUUAGGUCGAAGUAGUUCGUUUGCUAGAGGUGGUACUAGAAGAACUAGUGAGAGUGCUACACAACAAUCUGAAGCUAGAGCUCCAGCUCGAGCAUAUGUUAUGAGGACUCGAGAAGAGAAAGAUGCUCAUAAUGUGGUGACAGGUAUAUUCUUAUUGAAUUCACCACCCGUUUAUGCUUUAAUAGACCCUGGGUCAUCACAUUCAUAUGUUAAUAUGAAAGUAGUUGAGACAAAAAAAUUAGAGUCUGAAUUGUCUAAAGUUAUGAUAGAAGUGUCUAGUCUACUGGGACAAACUACUUUAGUGAACCAUAUAUGUUGAAGAUGUUCAUUAAUGAUUCAAGAUAGAAUAUUCCCUGUUGAUCUAUUGAUUAUGCCAUUUGGUGACUUUGAUGUUAUUUUGGGAAUGGACUGGUUAUCAGAACAUUGAGUGAUUUUAGACUGUUAUAAGAAGAAGUUUAUUGUUCAGAAUGAAAGUGAAGAUACGAUUGAAGUAAAUGGUAUUCGGACUAGUGGAUCAAUUCGUAUUGUUUCGGCCAUUAAAGCUAGCAAGCUUCUUCAUCGAGGUUGUAAUGCUUUCUUAGCAUAUGUGAUUAAUUCGGAUUCAGUUGAAAGUUAGUGUAGUAAAAUUCGGACUGUAUGUAAAUUUUCUGAUGUAUUCCCUGAGGAAUUACCUGGAUUACCCCCUGAUCGAGAGGUAGAAUUUGUGAUUGAAGUCUACCCAGGUACAGAUCCGGUAUCGAUACCUCCGUACCGUAUGGCACCUACUGAGCUAAAGGAAUUAAAAGUACAGUUGCAAGACUUAUUGGACAGAGGUUCUAUACGACCUAGUACAUCAUCAUGGGGAGCUCCAAUGUUAUUUGUUAAGAAGAAAGAUGGGUCGAUGCGGUUGUGCAUUGAUUAUCGACAACUCAACAAAUCAACUGUCAAGAACAAGUAUCCACUUCCCCGAAUAGAUGAUUUGUUUGAUCAACUGAAAAGAGCUUCUGUAUUUUCAAAGAUUGAUCUGAGGUCGGGAUACUAUCAGUUGAAAGUAAAAGAGUGCGACUAUUGAAGACGACAUUCCGUACGAGGUAUGGGCAUUAUGAAUUCUUAGUAAUGCCAUUUGGACUGACAAAUGCCCUUGCUGCUUUUAUGGAUCUUAUGAAUCGGAUUUUUCAGCCAUACUUGGAUCAGUUCAUAAUAGUUUUUAUUGACGAUAUUUUGGUGUAUUCCAAGUCAGAAAAAGACCAUGAGCAACAUCUCCGGAUUAUUUUGUAAAUACUACGAGAAAAGCAAUUGUAUGGAAAAUUGAGCAAGUGUGAAUUCUGGUUAUCAGAAGUUGUGUUUCUUGGUCAUGCCGUAUCAGCAGAUGGAAUUAGAGUGGAUCCAAAGAAGAUUGAAGCAGUUAUUCUGUGGAAAGUUCCUAAGAAUGUAUCAGAGGUACAAAGUUUUCUUAGAUUGGCUGGUUACUAUCGAAGACUCGUCAACGGAUUUUCAAAGAUAGCCUUACCGAUGACCAAGCUACUACAGAAGAAUAUUCCAUUUGUUUGGAAUGAGUAAUGUCAGAAAAGUUUUGAAGCAUUAAAACGAAUGUUAACAGAGGCACCGGUGUUGACUUUACCAGAAUCAGAAAGAGAUUUUGUAGUGUACAGUGAUGCUUCAUUGAGUGGACUGGGAUGUGUACUGAUGCAGAACGGGAAAGUCAUUGCUUAUGCUUCACGGCAACUGAAACCGCAUGAACGCAACUAUCCAACUCAUGAUUUAGAAUUAGCAGCUGUAAUUUUUUCCUUGAAGAUUUGGAGGCACUAUCUUUAUGGUGAAAAGUGCUAUGUUUAUACGGAUCAUAAAAGUUUGAAGUAUCUUCUUUCGUAAAAAGAAUUGAAUCUGAGACAAAGGCGUUGGAUAGAGCUUCUGAAAGACUAUGAUUGUGUCAUAGACUAUCAUCUAGGGAAGGCUAAUGUAGUAGACGACGCACUGAGUAGAAAAUCUGCGAUUGAAUUACGAGCAAUGUUUGCACAACUUAGUAUCACUGAAGAUGGAAGUCUUUUGACUGAAUUAAGAAUAAAGCCAGUAAUGUUUGAUCGAAUCAGAUCAGCACAGUUAGAAGAUGAUAAGUUGUUAAAGAAAAGAGAGAUGAUUCAGAAUGGUACAACAGAAAAUUUUAGCAUUGAUGGAAAUGGUUGUCUAAGAAUUCAGAAUCAACUUUGCAUUCCAGAUAAUUCUGAGUUGAAAGAGUUAAUACUUCGAGAAGCUCAUAAUAGUCCAUUUGUAUUUCAUCCUGGAGGUAUGAAAAUGUAUCGUGAUUUGCGUGAAUUGUAUUGGUGGCUGGGAAUGAAAAAGGAUAUAAAUGAAUAUGUGGCAAAGUGUUUGACUUGUCAACGAGUGAAGGCAGAACAUCAAGUUCCAUCAGGAUUACUUCAACCUAUCAAUAUUCCUGAAUGGAAAUGGGACCGAAUAACGAUGGACUUUGUGAAGGGAUUACCGACGUCUACAAGUAAAAAGAAUGCUAUUUGGGUAAUAGUUGAUCGACUUACGAAGUCAGCUCAUUUCUUAGUUGUGAGAACCGAUUGGUCGUUAAAGAAACUUGCUGAGGUUUAUGUUCGGGAAAUCAUUAGAUUACAUGGUAUUCUAAAACCAAUAAUUUCUGACAGAGAUUCAAGGUUUAUGUCAAGGUUUUGAAAGCAAUUACAUGAAUCUUUCGGUACUCGACUUCACUUUAGUACAGCUUUUCAUCCACAGACUGAUGGUCAAUCUGAACGGGUAAUACAAAUUUUAGAAGAUAUGCUUCGAGCCUAUAUGAUUGAUUUUGAGUCUAACUGGGAAUAUUAUUUGUCAUUAGCUGAAUUUGUAUAUAAUAAUAGUUUCCAGUCAAGUAUACAGAUGGCACCGUAUGAGGCUUUGUAUGGACGAAGAUGCCGAUCACCCGUAUGUUGGACAGAACUGAAUGAGAAGAAGAUGAUUGGACCUGAAUUGGUUCAAGAAAUGGAAAGUACAGUUAAGAAAAUUCGGGAAAGAUUUAAAACUGCUUCUGAUAGACAGAAAUCGUAUGCAGAUUUGAAACGAUGGGAUAUUGAAUACUCAGUCGGGGAUAAAGUAUUUUUAAAGGUUUCACCUUGAAAGAAAAUUCUAAGAUUUGGUCAAAAAGGAAAAUUAAGUCCUCGUUUUAUUGGGCCUUACGAAGUUAUUGAGAGAAUUGGACCAGUAGCGUAUCGAUUGGCCUUACCUCCUGAACUACAGAAAAUGCACGAUGUCUUUCAUGUUUCUAUGCUAAGAAGAUAUCGAGUGGAUCCUUCACAUGUUAUUACGACCGAGAAUGUAGAGACUCGACCUGACUUAUCGUAUGAAAAAGAACCAGUUGAGAUUCUAGCACGAGAGGUAAAAGAAUUACGUAAUAAACGUAUUCCUUUAGUAAAAGUGCUAUGGCGAAGUCACAGUGUUGAAGAAGCUACAUGGGAACCAGAAGAAACGAUGAGAUCUCAAUACCCCCAUCUCUUUUCAGGUAAAUUUCGAGGACGAAAUUUAUUAAGGGGGAGAGAAUUGUAAUGAACCGAAAGUUACAGUAUCGAAAAUUGAGUCUUGAGUACUGUUUCCGUGAAAUUAAUUCAUGAAUAUUUAUUAGAAAUAUUUAUGAAUUAUAGUUGAAUGGUUAUUUAGUGUUUAAUUAAGUGAAGUAGCUUGAAUUUAGUUUAAAGGACUAAAUUGCAUACGGUAUAAAAGUUUAAUUAUAGAUUAAAGAUGAGUAAAGAUUAGUAUAUAACCAUAAUAAGCACUCAAUCCAAACAAGUAUAGGAUAGAUUUCCUAUCACAUGCACUCAACCAUUAAGUUAGUCUCAUAGCAUGACAAGAUAAUAACACAUCUAGAUGAGCUCAUUACAUCAUUAUUCCCAAUUUACAUCUCAUGUUAGUCCCAUUGAAUUUCUUGAUUUUUUGAUGGAUAUCUCAUUUCCCGUCAGUUCAUACAAGUGAUCAUUUCAAGUACACACUCCCGCGAACCUCGCAUCUUAUGGUGGAAUUACCAGAUUACAUUAAAUCCCCCGUAAUACAAACUCAUAGAGUAAAUGUCGGGAUUACCAAUCCAGGCUAAAUCCCCUACAUUGACAUAUACCCUGAUAAGCUCGGAUCUGAAUUACCAGUCUAGGCUAAAUUCAGAUCCUACUUCGGAUUACCCUUCCGGGCUAAAUCCUUAAUGCACACAUAUUCUUCGGGAGGCUAGAUCACUAUAGGAUCACCCAUCCGGGCUAGAUGCUUUUCACCGUCAAUUUAUUUUCGAGAUAUUCCAUCGAAUAACCCUAUUCAUUCAACCUCGGGCAUUCUUAUACUCAUUUUACUCACUUUAUUAAAUCUCAUAUAUUAUUAUGCAAUAAACAUUUACACAAUCAAGAAUAUACAUUUUAAGUACAUUAAUAGUCUAUUUUGAGUUAUUCGAACUUACUUGGUGAUCGUUUCGGAUUCGAGUUUUGAUCACUCCGAAACAUUUCGUUUCCCUCGAUCGACUUUCGAAUUCGGUCUCUUAGGGUCUCUAUGAGAAAAAUAACUUUAUCAAUACAUCAUUUAAUUCCUUUUUGGUCCAUAUCUCAUCCUAGGGAAAAAUAACCAAUUUGCCCCUAAACCUUGCUAAAAUUAUGAUUUUGCCCUUGGGCUUGUAAUUUGGUUUUCAUUACAUUUUCUAAAUGUUUCAAACCUAGCCUAAUAAUAUUUAUACUUAUGGCAUCUUGCAAAUCCAUCUAUAUCAUAUAUUUCAUAGUAAUUUCACAAAUUUUGCAAAAUGGUCCUAUGAGGGCUUUCAUGAGAAAUCCUUUCAUAAAAGUUGUUUAUCACAUAACCAAGCUUCAUAUUCCUCCAUAAAAACUCAAAAAACCUUAGAAAAUCUUACAUGGCAACUCAUUAGAACUUUUACCAUUUUGCAAAAUAGUUCCCUCUAGAGAAAGCCCAUGCAAAGGGGACUUUAAAAGUACAAAAAUUUUCAAGAAAAUCUCUUACUUGUUGAUAAACUGUAAUUUAUACAUAUUUUUAUCCCAUGCUUAGCACAUUUAUGGAUGGUUUCUCCUUAGAUUUGGUGAAUUCGAUGCUCCUAAUUCUUUAAUUUCAUGUUUUAUACUUAGGUGAGCAUAGGAGAGUAAAAAGAGCAAGAAACAGGGCGAAAACGGAGAAAAUGGACCCACAUGAAAAAUCAACACGGCCUGGACUUCCUCACACGGGUAAGUUACACGGCCAUGUCUAUUUGGCAAGAUCGAAGCACGACUUACACGGGUAGACUACACUCCUGUGCCUAUUUAAUAGCCUUGACCACGGUCUGGAGCAAUCGCACACGGGCGUGUCACACGGGUGUGUCCCUGUCGAGCCCAAGUAUAGUCCUAUUCAGAAAAAGCCACUUUUGAGGGCUCUUAGGCAUUCUAAAGCCUAUUUAAACACCUGAGGAGGCACUUAGAAGACACACACGGAGUAGGAAGCAAGGAAUUACUCAAGGGAAGUCGAUUGAUCCAUCUCAGAAGCCGAAUUCAUCGUGAAGACUGAAGAUAUCCUUUCAAUUUCCAUUCAGGGUUUUUAGGUUUUCUUUAUGAUUUGUAUUCAUUAUUCUUCUGAGAUGUUUUCUUUUAUAAUUAUGAAUUAAACCCCCUAAAUACCUAAGGGGAAUGAAACCUAAGAUAGAUCUUGUUAUUAUUAUCUAAAUGGUAUGAUAAAUAUUUGACUUGUUCUUAAUUAUGUGUUCAUAAUUCUUGUCUUAAUAUUCCAAGAUAUUGAUUCAAGUUAAUGCGCUUAUUUAGAGGAGCAAAAGUCCCUGUCUAAGAGUAAAUCUAUCUUAAUUAAGUGGAGUUGAUUGCACGCCUAGAGAUAGGGUAAUAAGAUUUUGUCGGAUUAGGGUGAAACCUAAUAAGGGGAUCUAUAGAUCGAGUUAAUGCAACACUAGGGCGUUAAUUAGAAAAAGAUUUCAAUUAAUCAACCUAGGGUUAGACGUUAUUAGUCUCGAGAGAAAUAAUAAUAUAACUUUGAGAUUUCUACAGAUCAAUUCAAAUGAAUAAAUCGUCUAACUCAGAGUCAAAUAACAAGUGAAGUCUAGGUGGAUUUUUCCUUGGGUAUUGUCUUAAUCAAUCGAGUUUUCCCAAAAGCUUUUCCCCAAUUUCUCUCUAUGCACUCUUAGUUUAGUUAAUUAGUUUAGAUAAACAAAUCCCUUAAUUUUUAGGCUAGAUAAUAAAAAGAAAGUAAUUACUAGUACUCUUGGUUCCUUUGGGUUCGACAAUCCAGUCUUGCUAAAGCUAUACUACUGUUCAAUAGAUACACUUGUCUUCAUUGUGAUAAUAGUUAGUUUUAGGAAUGAUUAAUUAUAAAUUUUUAAAUUCAGUCAUACUUAGUGUACGGUUUUGUUUCCGUGCACAGGUUAGGUUAAAGACAGAUCGUCGAAUAGCAUCAUAAGCCGAUCCCGAACUCAAAAAGGUAAAGCAUGUUAAUUAUCAGUAAUGGCAUGUACCUAGGAUGUCUUAAGUGUGUUAUAUUGGAUUGUGAUUGUAAUGGACUAAAUAAGUAAAUUGAUAAUUGAUAAUGAUACAUGAUAAGUGUUUAAAGUUAAGUAUUAGAUAAUAUAUAAAAUAUGUUUGGAUUGGUUUAAUAUUGGUAUUUGUUUUGGUUGUGGAUUGAAAUUUAUAGGAUUGGUAAAUUUUUAAAAUACAAGGUUCAUUUUGAGUUAACAUAGUUUGUCAUACCAGCAUGUGCCUUGGUUGCCACGGUCGUGUCUUAAAGUCAGUUUAGCACACGGGCAGGCCACACGGUCGUGUGUCAUGGUCGUGUGUAAAAGUCAGUGUUGCACAUGGGUUGAGGACACGAGCAUGUCCCAUGCCGCACGGGCAUGUUAAAUUAGCCAACACGGACGUGUGGUACUGUUGAAAAGAAGAAAAUUUAAAAUUUCACAAAAAAUUUACUAAGCUUUAGGAUCGAAUCCCGGUUUGUUUAAUUAUACUUGUAAAGUAUUGUGGACCCAUUAAAAUUAUAUUUAGAUGGAUAACAUUGCAUUUAUACUUGUUUAUGUGCAAAUGUACUGUAAUAACUGGUAACACUCUGUAAUCCUGUUCCGGUAACGGGAUGGAGUUAAGGGUGUUACAAUCUAGACAUAGAGGAGUAUAGUAACGUGCCUUUAAUUUUAGGAAGGUCCUUUUUAGCAACUGCCAAAACUAUAAUUGAUGUUGGUACAGGUAAACUCACACUUCGUGUGGGAGAUGAAACAAUCACCCUUCAAGCUCGUAAUUCGAAUAACAUAUCAAAAAUUGAAGGUGGUUGUAUAAAUUAUACUAUUAAAACUGACCAUGUGGUGCAACCUACUUUACAGGAAAUAAGUUCAGAGAACACACAUGAGCCAUGUUCGAGUAACGAGAAAGGACCUAUCUAUGAAGAGCGAAAGCUACAAAUCGAGGAACUAGAUGAAUGGUAGACACAUAAACCGAGGACACACGAUAAACCAAAACCACGCCAUGACGAGCUCAAUAUCUCACCAAAUCAACUUAAGGUUGGACACAAAGUACUACUAGAUGCAGCAGACCCUCGUAUUGCCACUUCUGAACCUAAUGGAGCAAUCCCUCUUAAGGCACUCAGUAUUUUCCCAUAUGGUACAGUAGAGGUAAGUUAUCCAUCACAAGGCACUUUUAAGGUAAAUGGACAUCGUCUCAAAAUUUAUAAUGGUGAGAAUUUCAAGACAAUAAAGAGGAGCUACGGCUCCACGAAGUUACCUAAAUAUACCCACAAGGUAAAGUCGAGCUUAGACUAUAAAUAAGUGCGUCUCAGGAGGCAACCCGAGCACUAACAGUGUUAAAUUCUUUAAAUUUUAGUCUUUACCAUUUAAUUUACUAACUGAGCCACUGAACACAGGAUUUCCAGAACCACACGACUAGACACAUGGGCGUGCCGUAGGCCGUGCACAUACCACGGGAGGAAACACGGCCAUGUGAUAUGACCGUAUGAAAAUAGAGCAAAAACGUUUCCCCAAGACUGGAUCCAAUAAGUUGCCAUGGCCGUGCGAUAUAGCCGUGGGCAAUCCUGCCAAAUUAACACCGGCGUGCGACAGCAUGCGCCUGCAUACACGGGCGUAGAAGAAGCGAACGAAGAAAUACACGACCGUGCAACAUGGCCGUAUGCACCAAUGUGCCCAAUUUCUAAAACCACGAAAAGCACGGGCUGAAAUAAGGGUACACGGGCGUUCCCACGGCCGUGUACCCCAAUUUCUUUAUAAACACCUAUUAUUUAUUUUAUUUUUAUCUUUGUAUUUUGGAAUUACUUUUUAUUUCCUUUUAAUACUAUUUUAUCUUGAGAUUUUAUAAUUUUUAUUCGGCUAUUUCUUUACGAGUAAUUAUGCUUCUUUAUAUUUCCUAAAAAGUUCCUGAUUCUAUGACAGUUAUAAAGAGCUCCAAAGCUCAUCAUCACUUAGGAACUAAAAAAAUCCACUGGAAAAAGUUCUCCACGACUACCAUGUCCUGCUCGACCACGACCAUAGCCACUACCAGAUAUAAUAUUCUUUUGGCGCAAGUCUUAUGGACUAAUGAACCUCUACCACCA
This 21642-nucleotide long non-coding RNA is filed under the name Gossypium barbadense (sea-island cotton). RNAcentral describes it as "long non-coding RNA (GBAR_LNC000304)". Lineage: Eukaryota; Viridiplantae; Streptophyta; Magnoliopsida; Malvales; Malvaceae. The record is from RNAcentral.